AUUUAAAAUAAAUAAAUAAAAUGUGAGAAGUCCUUCAGCUCACUCGGCGACUCAGAGUCGCGACCCACAGGACUCGCUCGAAAACCACCUGGUCGAUCUGGAGAUGAAGCUCCAGAUGGUCUCCGAGGAGAUCGCCGCCUCGCUUGAGGAGCAGAGCGCGACGUCGUCCGAUUGCGCGACGACGCCACGCCGCUUCGCUCCGUUCCGUCGCCGCCGGAAUCCUCCAGAAGCUCAAGAAGGCCGAGGGAAGCUCAGCAGAAUCUAUAGCUGCCCUCGCUAUAGUUGAUACCGUCAAACGGAGAAUGGAAGCUGCGUAUGAGACUUUGCUGGUAGAAUAAUCCUGGUUUCUUGAUGCUGCUGGGUUAACUCAACUAAGUUCUACUGUGGAAGAUGUUUUUGCCAGUGGUGAUCUUCCUCUGGCUGCAGAAACCUUGGCUAAUAUGAGGCAUUGCUUGUCUGCUGUUAAGGAGAUCGCUGAAUUUGCUAAUGUUAGGAAGCAACUUGAGGUCUUAGAAGAUAGAUUAGAUUCAAUGGUACAGCCUCGUCUAACAGAUGCCAUAUCCAACUGCAAGGUUGAUGUUGCUCAAGAUUUGCAUGGAAUCCUCAUUCGAAUUGGAAGAUUCAAGUCUUUAGAGCUACAUUAUUCAAAAGUUCACUUAAAAGUCCAUAAAGCAGCUCUGGGAAGAUUUUGACUCAAGACAGCGAACUAGUAAGCUUUCUAGUGAGAGGAAUGAAGUGGAAAGGCUAUCAAGUAGUAACGAGUUUCAAUCAAGUUCACCUUCAAUUUCUUUCUCCAGUUGGUUGCCAAGUUUCUAUGACGAGUUGCUACUUUAUCUUGAGCAAGAAUGGAAGUGGUACAGUUCAUUCUUCUUUAGAAGCCUUAAUAUUUAGUCACAUUUUGUGAAGAGUUGUUUGUUCAAAAGUAUAGAAAUAGACUGAUUAUUUCUUUAUAAAUUUCAUGAUAACAUCACAUAAAAUUGGUUGCCAUUAACAGCUGAA
Quercus robur (English oak) is the source of this 999-nucleotide RNA transcript. It is a transcript of the gene named conserved oligomeric Golgi complex subunit 7-like, with no coding region annotated. NCBI's taxonomy places the organism in Eukaryota, Viridiplantae, Streptophyta, Magnoliopsida, Fagales, Fagaceae. The record is from RefSeq and is a predicted model, not a curated record. The transcript is spliced from 5 exons.